Molecule: long non-coding RNA, 515 nt
Organism: Schistocerca gregaria
Lineage: Eukaryota; Metazoa; Arthropoda; Insecta; Orthoptera; Acrididae
Exons: 2
Source: RefSeq, a predicted model, not a curated record
AUGGAGUAAACGCUUCAGAGACCUAGGAUCUGUUCCGGAAUGUCCAAGUUACUGGUGCUCGUGCUCCUGUUGGCGAUGGUGGUGGCUGUAACCGUGGCCCAGCGUGGCGGUGGGGGCGGUUUCGGCGGCGGAAGAGGAGGCCGAGGAGGCGGCAUGAUGGGCGGCAUGGGCCGAGGCAUGGGGCGUGGCAUGGGCGGCAUGGGCCGAGGCAUGGGCGGCAUGGGCCGAGGCAUGGGCGGCAUGUUCGGCUGAGGCGGCCGUCUGUCCGGCCUGGUUGCUCCGUAGUCCAUCUCGGUGUUCCCUUACAGUAUUUCAUACAGUCCUUACCUACACCAAGUCAGUGGGAGAUCUCAAUGUUCCCACGUGUCUGCUCUCCUGCCUACUCAUCGACAGUACCACCGAACGUAGUUUGCUUUCAGACUUUCAGACAUUAUUCUGUAGUUUGUUGUAUCGAAUUUAUGCUUCAACUCUUUGUACAAUGUGUACAUAACAAUAAAUUAGUUACAUCACAAGCA